RNAcentral lists this small RNA (481 nucleotides) under Histoplasma capsulatum. RNAcentral's name for it is "hypothetical RNA". RNAcentral also lists the same sequence under 1 other name. Lineage: Eukaryota; Fungi; Ascomycota; Eurotiomycetes; Onygenales; Ajellomycetaceae. The record is from RNAcentral.
GUGAACGGGAAAGAAAACGAAAGGUUUGGAGUGCAGAAAAUGACAGAGGCCAUCGACCAGGUUGCGGACUCUGCAAAUAACUUGAAAGAGGAGGCUGCAGCUUUGGCGCGUCAAAAAGGUUGGACAGAGCCUCAACGCUACGAUUAUGACACGUACAAUGCGGAUCCAAAGCCUGGUGAGGGUGCUGGCUUAACCGAUCUCCCUGAGUGGGCUUCCAAUGCCGCGAAGUACGAGUGGAAGGAGGAGUAUGGCGAUGUGGGUCCUCGGAAUGAGGAGCUUGAGAAAAUGCUUUUCCACGAUGAGUACCUGAACCGCGCGGGGAACAAGUUCGAUCGCCUUCGUGAAGUCAAAGUUACGGCAGAAACAACCCAUCAACCCGAUCCUGUGAAGAACUUCGAUGAUGCAGGUUUGCAUCCGGUUAUGCGUGAGAAUAUCAAGCUAUGUGGCUAUAAGGUUCCCACACCAAUUCAAGCGUACGCCA